GCCCGAGUGGCGGAACUGGUAGACGCGCUGGAUUCAAAAUCCAGUGGUAGCAAUACCGUGCCGGUUCGAUUCCGGCCUUGGGUA
RNAcentral lists this transfer RNA (84 nucleotides) under Ornithobacterium rhinotracheale. RNAcentral describes it as "tRNA-Leu". It matches the Rfam family "tRNA". Rfam says of the family: Transfer RNA (tRNA) molecules are approximately 80 nucleotides in length. Their secondary structure includes four short double-helical elements and three loops (D, anti-codon, and T loops). Lineage: Bacteria; Pseudomonadati; Bacteroidota; Flavobacteriia; Flavobacteriales; Weeksellaceae. The record is from RNAcentral.